This 316-nucleotide small RNA is filed under the name Pongo abelii (Sumatran orangutan). RNAcentral's name for it is "retained intron". The record is from RNAcentral. Lineage: Eukaryota; Metazoa; Chordata; Mammalia; Primates; Hominidae.
GGCAACGGGGCGGCGCAGGCAGGAGGGAACGGCUGGUUGCAGGUUUCUCUCGGCCUGGCCCAGCGCGGCCCCGCCGAGGCGGCGACCAAGCCCAUUCUCAGCUAUGAGAACAUUUUAAAGUGUGCUUUUCAAGAAAUAACAGUCCAGCAGGCAGCUGAAGACGUUUCCACCAUAGACCAUUUCCUAGAAAUAAGUAGUGAAGAAAAACCUGGCCUUGAAUGUGUACAUAAAUUGUGGGACACACUUUCAACUGAGCAUUGAAGACAAACAGUGCUCUAGUGGAUUAGGCAGCAGUGGUUGAGAAGCUCGAGGUAAG